UUAAUUGAAACCAAAAAGAGGUAUACCACUGUUAAUGGUAAAAUUGAGGUUUUCUCCAAUUAAA
This 64-nucleotide transfer RNA is filed under the name Hydrophilidae sp. BMNH 1274306. RNAcentral's name for it is "tRNA-Asn". The record is from RNAcentral. Lineage: Eukaryota; Metazoa; Arthropoda; Insecta; Coleoptera; Hydrophilidae.